GUGUCGUCUCGAGAUAAUAUUAAUCUCGAGUUUUUGUAUUUGGUUUCUUUGUGUUGGGUACCUACUUGAUGGNAUCGGNAGACUCUAAAUGUCCAUUUUCGCCUUUCGUUGUCCCUCUUUGGGAUGAUGAACGGUGAACCAUGAAGUGAUCUCCGUGUCCCACUCCGCUCACAUUCAUUUGUGCUUGUGGAUUGGUCCAUGGGGAGUUUGCUUGAACUGUUGGAUGCGGUGCAUUGUACACGGGCAUGAGGACUCGCGUUCUCUCUCUGCCCGAACAAAAGCUUUCAUCGCUUAGUUGCGAACGAUUGCGAUCCCCGUUUCGAGCCAUAUGGCAAGUGCGGUGAUUGCUUCGUUGAGGAAUGCUACCUGGUUGAUCCUG
RNAcentral lists this unclassified non-coding RNA (379 nucleotides) under Pectocarya linearis var. ferocula. RNAcentral's name for it is "partial external transcribed spacer". The record is from RNAcentral. Lineage: Eukaryota; Viridiplantae; Streptophyta; Magnoliopsida; Boraginales; Boraginaceae.